AGCUGUCCACUAAGAAGUUUAUAUUUCAGAUGAGGAGUCUGUGCGUCUGAGAAUCGUUGUACACGUCGGUGGCUUGCAUAUAUAUAUAUGAGUCAUGUGAUAGAGAAAAAGGGGAAGACAGAGAGAAAAAUGAAAAAUAAGAAAAUAGAAAAAUCUAUAUCAGACACGGCAUGCCGUAUUAAUUCAAAAGGCACUCUCCAGCAAUGGAGACGACAAAAAUUAUCUGUUCUGGAAAUGGAUACUUAAGCAUCCAGACAUGCUAAAGAUAGCUGGACCAAUUUUGCUCGGGAAACUUCUCUCUUCCUGGCCACCUUGAAUUUAGACGACCAAGUUCUAACAAUAUUGAACUUCUGAAAAGCGUAAUAGAGAAGAAUCAAAAACAAACUGCACGAUAAUUAGCAAAACAAUUUAGU
Octopus bimaculoides (California two-spot octopus) is the source of this 413-nucleotide long non-coding RNA. The record is from RefSeq and is a predicted model, not a curated record. NCBI's taxonomy places the organism in Eukaryota, Metazoa, Mollusca, Cephalopoda, Octopoda, Octopodidae.